CGGGGAGUAGCGCAGUCUGGUAGCGCAUCUGCUUUGGGAGCAGAGGGUCGCUGGUUCGAAUCCAGUCUCCCCGA
Transfer RNA from Tistlia consotensis, 74 nucleotides. It matches the Rfam family "tRNA". From Rfam's summary of the family: Transfer RNA (tRNA) molecules are approximately 80 nucleotides in length. Their secondary structure includes four short double-helical elements and three loops (D, anti-codon, and T loops). The record is from Rfam. Lineage: Bacteria; Pseudomonadati; Pseudomonadota; Alphaproteobacteria; Rhodospirillales; Rhodovibrionaceae.